RNAcentral lists this transfer RNA (58 nucleotides) under Philanthus triangulum (European beewolf). RNAcentral describes it as "tRNA-Ser". The record is from RNAcentral. Lineage: Eukaryota; Metazoa; Arthropoda; Insecta; Hymenoptera; Crabronidae.
GAAAUAAUAAAAAUUGAGCUUCUAACUCAAAAUUAAAUGUAAAUUCAUUUUUAUUUCU